This 66-nucleotide transfer RNA is filed under the name mouse gut metagenome. It matches the Rfam family "tRNA". Rfam says of the family: Transfer RNA (tRNA) molecules are approximately 80 nucleotides in length. Their secondary structure includes four short double-helical elements and three loops (D, anti-codon, and T loops). The record is from RNAcentral. RNAcentral also lists the same sequence under 1 other name.
GGUAUAGUUCAGUUGGUAGAACGACGGUCUCCAAAACCGUAUGUCGAGGGUUCAAGUCCUUCUGCC